GUUCAGCUGACGGGUCCCGAAUAGGACGAAAAUCGCGUCCUGGAU
This is a non-coding RNA of Schistosoma haematobium, 45 nucleotides long. The record is from Rfam. Lineage: Eukaryota; Metazoa; Platyhelminthes; Trematoda; Strigeidida; Schistosomatidae.